This 45-nucleotide non-coding RNA is filed under the name Schistosoma mattheei. Lineage: Eukaryota; Metazoa; Platyhelminthes; Trematoda; Strigeidida; Schistosomatidae. The record is from RNAcentral.
ACCUAAAUGACGAGUCCCAUAUGGGACGAAACGCAAGUCAUAGAU